UGAAGUGAGUACAGAAGUUACUGAAUAAAAUUUUAUGUCACAUGAGAAGGAAAGAAAAUUCAAAGGUGGACAGGAAGAUGUCCCAGUAAGGAGGGGCAGAACCAUCUGGGUGCAUACUUCAGGAUCUCUUUUUUCUGAAAUCUUCCAGAACUUCAGUUCCAGCCAAGUUCUCUGAUGUCUGAAAUGCUGAAAAGUGUACUGGAGAGAGCAGAGGAUUUCCAGGGGUCUAAGAGGUAAAGAUGCCAUAGUUUUCUCUGCCCCUCUGAGUGCUAAGAAGUUAGUUGCCAUGUCUUAGCGUGGUACCAGCUGGAUUUUAACAGCUUCAGAUCAAGAUUUCUACUCAAACAGACAUUUGCAAUGUCCUUUGGGAACAUCAGGGUGAAAAAAAUGAAGUGUAAUCAUUGGCUCUUAUAAAUAGCAAUGGAGUUGAAGAGGAUCACAGACUCCAGACAGUAUGUGAAGCAUUUACAGAGGUCUGGUUUUGCUUUUGCUGGGUGAGCACCAGGACAAGCCUAAGAGCAGACAGCUCGCAGCUCUUGUAUCAGGAGCUCAGGUGCCCUGAAGGGUUGUGGAAAUCCUUCCAGUGACUUCACAAAAAGUUGGAUAGGAUCCAGAUGAUGGAGAAGAUAAUUCUAUCAGCUUUUCUUAGUGUUAGCCUGUGAAAGGUAUGUGCCUGGAAGAGAUAAAUAAUCUGGGUCAUUUUCCAUAUUAAUUUCAAAUAAACAGAGUUUACAUGGUUACGGUUAAACUGUG
Molecule: long non-coding RNA, 753 nt
Filed under: Anas platyrhynchos platyrhynchos (common mallard)
Lineage: Eukaryota; Metazoa; Chordata; Aves; Anseriformes; Anatidae
Description: lncRNA (ENSAPLG00000018972.1)
Source: RNAcentral